UACGAAGGGGGCUAGCGUUGUUCGGAAUUACUGGGCGUAAAGCGCACGUAGGCGGAUACUUAAGUUAGGGGUGAAAUCCCAGAGCUCAACUCUGGAACUGCCUUUAAUACUGGGUAUCUCGAGUCCGGAAGAGGUGAGUGGAAUUCCGAGUGUAGAGGUGAAAUUCGUAGAUAUUCGGAGGAACACCAGUGGCGAAGGCGGCUCACUGGUCCGGUACUGACGCUGAGGUGCGAAAGCGUGGGGAGCGAACAGG
Molecule: ribosomal RNA, 253 nt
Filed under: uncultured bacterium
Lineage: Bacteria
Description: partial 16S ribosomal RNA
Rfam family: Bacterial small subunit ribosomal RNA
Source: RNAcentral